RNAcentral lists this ribosomal RNA (722 nucleotides) under Forpus crassirostris. Its description in RNAcentral is "partial 16S ribosomal RNA". The stretch from base 391 to 614 matches the Rfam family "Bacterial large subunit ribosomal RNA", at positions 1690 to 2035 of the family's 2925-position model. The record is from RNAcentral. Lineage: Eukaryota; Metazoa; Chordata; Aves; Psittaciformes; Psittacidae.
AAGUUCUACCUUAGCCCCUCCCCAACAAGCAAACAAACCCAAUCCCCAUGCAGCGAGCUAAGAGCUAUUUAAAGGAGGUACAGCCCCUUUAAUAAGGACACAACCCCCACCAGCGGAUAACCACCAACCCACCAACUCAAGUAGGCUUUAAAGCAGCCACCACCAAAGAAAGCGUCAAAGCCCRCAACAAAAAAAUCCCAAAAACAAUGCGACUCCCUAAACCAUAGUGAGCCAACCUAUUAACAUAGAUGAAUUUAUGCUAAAACGAGUAACCAGGACACUCGUCCCCUUAAGCGCCAACCUGACAGCCCAUUAACAGUAUAACUACAAUCUUUUCCCUAAACAACAUUGAAUACACCCUGUCAACCCAACCCAGGAGCGCACACUAGGAUGAUUAAAAUCUGCAAAAGGAACUCGGCAAACCCAAGGCCCGACUGUUUACCAAAAACAUAGCCUUCAGCCAAACAAGUAUUGAAGGUGAUGCCUGCCCAGUGAUAUUAAAUUCAACGGCCGCGGUAUCCUAACCGUGCAAAGGUAGCGCAAUCAAUUGUCCCAUAAAUCGAGACCUGUAUGAAUGGCUAAACGAGGUCUUAACUGUCUCCUGCAGACAAUCAAUGAAACUGAUCUCUUUGUGCAAAAGCAAAGAUACUUACAUAAGACAAGAAGACCCUGCGGAACUUCAAAAUCAUUAACCACAGCACCCAAAACUCAAAACCUCUACC